This 253-nucleotide ribosomal RNA is filed under the name uncultured bacterium. RNAcentral describes it as "partial 16S ribosomal RNA". It matches the Rfam family "Bacterial small subunit ribosomal RNA", at positions 524 to 776 of the family's 1533-position model. The record is from RNAcentral.
UACGUAGGGUGCGAGCGUUGUCCGGAAUUAUUGGGCGUAAAGAGCUUGUAGGCGGUCUGUCGCGUCUGCUGUGAAAAUCCGGGGCUCAACCCCGGACUUGCAGUGGGUACGGGCAGACUAGAGUGUGGUAGGGGAGACUGGAAUUCCUGGUGUAGCGGUGAAAUGCGCAGAUAUCAGGAGGAACACCGAUGGCGAAGGCAGGUCUCUGGGCCGGAACUGACGCUGAGGAGCGAAAGCGUGGGGAGCGAACAGG